UAAUGAGCUGAGCUAUGCAUGAACUGAAAUUUUGGGAUCUUUGACAUUUUAAUGAGAGAUAUAAGCAGAUUAUUUACCAGUAUGCACCCAGCUACUAUUUUCACAUAUGCUAACUGAUCAUUUGUUGCAAAUACGCAUAUAUCGAAGAAAUGUGUUUGCGAUAAGUUACGAGAUAUGCAAAUGAAGUCAAUUUCCAAUAUGGCGGCUUGUUUUGUGUAUUUACCAAAAUGGUUCUAUGGCUGUCUUUUAUAUGAAGAAAAAAUUGGCUUGUGAGAAGUAGAAUGUCUGAAACAGCAAAGGAGACUGAAGCAUCAGGAAAUGAUGAGAGAAAACAGGUGUUAAAGUGAGUACAUUUCAUUUUGAUGUUGUUACAGACAUGCUUGCAUACACUUCAUUGUGAAUGCUGUCACUGGUGGCUGUCAUUUUAAAAUCUCCUAAACUGAAGGUGAGCAUUUCUGAUCACAAUUUUGUUCAUCGUCUGUCCGUCCACCAGUAAACUUUUUCCAGAUAUUUGAUAUAUUGUCCAGAAUCACUGAACCAAUUUCAAGCCAACUUUCAAAGCAUGAAGGGGAUUCAGGUGUGGUGAGCAGUUAUACAAUUUUUAGCUCACCUGUGCUUAAGGCUCAAGUGAGUUCUCUGAUCAAAAUUUGUCCCUUGCCCGACAUCAUUAUUUUGUUGUAGUCAUUAUUGUUGUAAACUUUUUUUACAAUCUCAUCCUCUUCUUUUGAACCACUGGACCUAUUUAAACCAAACUUGGUACAAAGUAUUGGUAGGUAAAGGGGAAAAGGGGAUUCAAGUUUUUUCAAAUAUAGGGCAUUGCCAUCU
Molecule: long non-coding RNA, 825 nt
Organism: Saccostrea cuccullata (small rock oyster)
Lineage: Eukaryota; Metazoa; Mollusca; Bivalvia; Ostreida; Ostreidae
Exons: 3
Source: RefSeq, a predicted model, not a curated record